CUUGACUUUAGCGGGAGCUGACAGGAUCGCCCAACUAUCACGCAUUUAUUGUUUACCAGUAACUUUAUUGGCGGUUGACUUGACCAACAACAGCCUAAAAAUGCGUUAGUUAGGCUGCACAUCCGUUUGUGCAAUGGAUGUGAGGAAAUGGGAAUAUCUCUUCUUGCGUCCCGCACCCGAGUCUCACUACUAAAACCCAUCAAACAGGAAUACUAGCCAUGGCUCCCCUAGCUCUGUUGCAUGAAUCCACCUGCUAACACUUUGCUUGUACCAUGACACCCAGCUACAUCCUUUGGACAACAAAGGGGUGUCUGGAGCAACAGAACUAAUAGAUGCCAUACUGAUGAUGCUAGAUUCUGUCUCUACUCCGGUUGUCUGACUUUUUGUCACGAAAUAGGUGAUAUGUCACAGAACAUGCCCACAGCUGGCAGCAAUCAAGUAAGAUGAUGCAAAUUGGUGGAAAAAAAGCACAGGGGAAAAUCGCAAUUGUGGACUCUUUGUGUCCCUACUGCUCUCUCUUGUCCUCCAAUGGAUCUUAAUGAGAAAAGAUGAUAAUGAAAAUAAUUAAGGAUACCCAGGCUGUUCUUUGCAAUUGUCUUUUAUUGAUGUGUUUAAUAACAGUCUCUUUGUGAUUUUGAAAAACUAGGUCCAUCGAGCUUGACUGGUUUUAUGCCUAGAACUAUGUUUCAUCUGUACCUGUGAAACUAGCCCUUUGUGUUCUCUGAACCUUUUUUGUGACCCUCUGUAAUGGUGUCAACAUCUUAGUAUGCAUAAUCUUUAUUUCCAAAAUCAACAAAAAUAAGAAUACUUCUAUUUUUGAUCCAGAAUCUUGAACAUUGUGCCAAUAGUACAUAAACAUUGGCUAUAACUGUAGGUUAAUUACAAUUAAUGGUAAUAAAAUAGAAACAUUUUCAAAAGGGUUUUAUUGUAAUGACAAAGUGUCUGUUGUUGCUGGUUGUCAUUAUUUAUGUCUUAAACUCUCCAAAUAGAGUUUUGAAGCCACUAAAAAGGGUGGUCUGGGGAAGUAACAAUGUACAGGAAUGUCAAGGAGCAGAGUCUGAAGGAAACAUAAG
Molecule: long non-coding RNA, 1073 nt
Organism: Esox lucius (northern pike)
Lineage: Eukaryota; Metazoa; Chordata; Actinopteri; Esociformes; Esocidae
Source: Ensembl